UAAAAAGACAAUAGUCUGAGAGCCCUUGUC
This 30-nucleotide non-coding RNA is filed under the name Rattus norvegicus (Norway rat). The record is from RNAcentral. Lineage: Eukaryota; Metazoa; Chordata; Mammalia; Rodentia; Muridae.